AAAGAUUCCACAAUGGUUCAUAAUUUAUUCACUCCUGAACUACUCAAUAGGUGAGAUGAGCCCACGAUAUGCUGAAAUCUGAUGCUAAUAUGCACAACUCAAAAUUGCUCAAUAAUAUGAGUCUGCUAUCUGAACAGAGUGCACUGGAACCCUGCACGUAAAUGGACACACUGAAUCAUAGCAAGAACCACAAUGCAGAAACACACAAACUCAUCUGAACUGAAAGGUCGAAAUGGAACUGAUCAAACUGUAGUGUCUCUUAUUUGCCUACAACACAUAUACAUGGUACAAACAUGAUGUGACGACACGGGUUACAGAUGAUCUACCAGUUCUCAAAUCAGCAGAGAUAGCCAACACAGCAUUGAAGCAACACAAGGUCACAUCCAAAAGGCCAAACCGUUGUACUACAACAUUGGAAGUGCAGAGACCAACUACAACAAAGUAACAUUUGUGGGCGGGCUAUCAAGCACCGCGGUACCCUAUCCCUUCUGAGUUGAGAGGUUUUGCACUGUCACAUAGCAUACACUAUCUCCCCGCUGCUUUCGACGUCGAGGUCGGCGUCUGAAUCAAGGUCGUCCAUGUCGUCGUCAAGGUCCAGACCGUCGUUCAAGAACUGGUUGAUCCGGGAACCAGCGGCCGGGAUGGUGGCCUCCGCCAGGAUCUGCAUGAUCUCGUCCAUGCUCUGCAUCGGCUGUUCAGGCUCCUCAUACUGGCUGCUCAUGGUGCUGUCGUCCACUAGGUCAGCUGGGAGGUUCUUCAAGAACCACGGAUGGUUUCUUAUCUCCGGGAUUGUGAUUCU
RNAcentral lists this long non-coding RNA (799 nucleotides) under Triticum aestivum (bread wheat). Its description in RNAcentral is "long non-coding RNA (TAES_LNC004128)". The record is from RNAcentral. Lineage: Eukaryota; Viridiplantae; Streptophyta; Magnoliopsida; Poales; Poaceae.